RNAcentral lists this long non-coding RNA (1559 nucleotides) under Marmota monax (woodchuck). Lineage: Eukaryota; Metazoa; Chordata; Mammalia; Rodentia; Sciuridae. The record is from RNAcentral.
GUACGUGCUCUACCACAGAGCUACAUCCUCAGCCCAAGGCUCUCAUUUCUUGAUGAACUGACCUGGGUCCUGAUCCAGUUCACCUAGGCAUCAUUGCAGAUGUUACCAGUUGGAAACCGUACCCGAGAGUCCCUUGUGAAGGCAGAAGGCCUUAGAAGACCAAGUCCUCCAUGUAGGAACAUACUUAAAGGGGAUAUUAUGGUUUGAAGCUUGACCUUGAACAAGCUGAAUUUCAAGUCAAACACUGUUACAGAAAAAUUUAUUGAGGAGUAGGGGGGGUGUCUUGAGGCCAUAAUGGCUUGGGAUAAAGGAGCAUGUGAGGCUCAGAGUGGUGCUACUGCCUUUCCCCAACCCUUCCUGUUCCAGGUAGCUACUGUGCCCUGUGCCUGCUGAGAGCACAGGCAGGAGGCUCCCUGGGUAAAUACUGCUUCUAGUUUCUGAAGCCUACCUGAUGGUUUGUGCUGAUGUUUCUGGCAAUAAGUCAGGGCUGGACCUAUUUGGUGGAUAGGGCACCAGUGGGCCACUAUGCCCCCCCCCCUCUACACUUGACUCCUCCUCCCCUUGGAGAGUGUGGAGUGUUCUCUCUUCUGCCCAAGGAGAGACUUUAGAGGAUUGAGCCGAGAAAUGGCAGGUCUUCUUCAAGGUCAGCUUCAGCCCUGGCAUGUUCAAAGGAGCCUCUCCUUUCAAAACCCACGUUCUGAGGUUUCUUGCCUGUGGCCAGCUGACAUGGAAGGGGACCCCUGGCUGUGAAAGGCUCAUGCAGAUUGACUGAGGUACUGUCUCCAGUAGGGGCAGUGGAGAUCACUUCAGAAGAUGCAUUAGCUGAACAUAUGUAGCAAAGGCUACCUAAUUUGUAUUAUUCAUAUUGAUAUAGUUAAUCUUUGUAAGGGAAAAUAGAUUUGAAUAACCAUACCAUGACAAAAGGUAUUAUAGAUGCUGGAGUGAGGCCUGCCAGGCUCCAGUGUGCUCUGCUAUAUGCAGGGUCUUCAAGGCUUGUGUAUGACGUCCUGGAGGCAUUCCACCUGGUAUUUCCCUCCUUUCAAGGAUUAAAUAUAAAGCAUCAUAUGGUGUCAACCAACUAGCAGUCUUGAGCUAAUGGAUGAAGAAAAGCCCUUUAGAAUGAGAAGACUGUUUUCAAAGAAGUCAGCGUGAUAGCCAUUGAAAAGAAGGAGUAUAAAGAAAGGAUGGCUUUUAAAUACUGCUAAGUCUCUGCCAAGCUGUGAAGACACCAGUUUAAGCUGCUGUAGUUCCUCAUGACAAGCUAAACCACGGCCCUAGCUGUGACACCAUUGAAAAUCAUUUCAAAUCUUCUGCAGUCCAUAUCUUAAAUUUUUGUGUAUUGGAAUAACUUUAUAUAUAACACAACAGCAACGAUAAAAUUUUUAUUUCUCUAAAAACCAGGAAUUUUAGUUUAAAAAUGAAAAAGAAGUUUCAUUAGCUGACCUGGGUAUUGAAAUAUUUGUCCUCUCUACAGAGAGGCUCAGCCUGCAAGCCUUUGUGGGAAUGGUCUCUUGCCAGUGUGCUUAAAGCCAUGAAUUUGGGGGCUAGGGAAACACAGA